RNAcentral lists this ribosomal RNA (496 nucleotides) under uncultured bacterium. RNAcentral's name for it is "partial 16S ribosomal RNA". It matches the Rfam family "Bacterial small subunit ribosomal RNA", at positions 29 to 507 of the family's 1533-position model. The record is from RNAcentral.
AUGAACGCUGGCGGCGUGCCUAAUCCAUGCAAGUCGAGCGAACAGACGAGGAGCUUGCUCCUCUGACGUUAGCGGCGGACGGGUGAGUAACACGUGGAUAACCUACCUAUAAGACUGGGAUAACUUCGGGAAACCGGAGCUAAUACCGGAUAAUAUAUUGAACCGCAUGGUUCAAUAGUUAAAGACGGUUUUGCUGUCACUUAUAGAUGUAUCCGCGCCGCAUUAGCUAGUUGGUAAGGUAACGGCUUACCAAGGCAAGGAUGCGUAGCCGACCUGAGAGGGUGAUCGGCCACACUGGAACUGAGACACGGUCCAGACUCCUACGGGAGGCAGCAGUAGGGAAUCUUCCGCAAUGGGCGAAAGCCUGACGGAGCAACGCCGCGUGAGUGAUGAAGGUCUUCGGAUCGUAAAACUCUGUUAUUAGGGAAGAACAAAUGUGUAAGUAACUAUGCACGUCUUGACGGUACCUAAUCAGAAAGCCACGGCUAACUACGUG